AUGCUUUAUGAUAAUCCAUUUACUAUUCCACUGGAGAAUUUUGCUUACCAUUGCAAACUUCCAUUUUGGGGUUCGCUUGAUGAGCCACCAACGGCUGAGUUCGAGUCUUUCUUGACUAGCCUUUGUUACAGUGAAAAUAGGGGAGUGAGACAAGGAAGAAUAAAGAACAUUCACUUUCCCGCAAUUCAGUAUUUUGCAUUAUUUAACGGGAAAUGCAUAGUAGGCAAGCAAGACUGUAGCAUACCUUGUGCGCCAGACUUGAGCCUCAUUCGCACCGCUCUCACUGGUGAAAGGAAUUAUAACCUCGGAGCGAUUGUUGCACGUAGACUUCAGCAUAACGCUAACAAUGGCUGGUUCUAUGGUGGAAUUUACGCCACGCAUUUAGCACGAGGGUUGGGUGUUUCACCUUUGCCCUUUGAUCCUAUCCUACCCACACAGUAUUUAGAUUUUGACACCUUAAAGGAGCAUAAGAUUCUCAAGGGAAAGGCUGAUAACUUCACUUAUAAUCUAUUGUUUAACCAAACUUCUGUUGUGCACACAUAUUUGCCUACGCCUGCUCUUUUUGACUAUCACAACAAUGGGAGAUAUUUUGUUCUUGAGAGCGAGGCCCACGCUCACAACACAGCAGUAGAGGCAGCACGGCAUGCCGAGGCAUCCGCACCAAGAGCCUCCGUGAGCUACCACGCCGACUACUACCCUCCAGGCUACUGA
This 711-nucleotide ribosomal RNA is filed under the name Triticum aestivum (bread wheat). RNAcentral describes it as "partial small subunit ribosomal RNA". The record is from RNAcentral. Lineage: Eukaryota; Viridiplantae; Streptophyta; Magnoliopsida; Poales; Poaceae.